CCUACGGGUGGCAGCAGUGAGGAAUAUUGGUCAAUGGGCGCGAGCCUGAACCAGCCAAGUCGCGUGAGGGAAGACGGUCCUAUGGGUUGUAAACCUCUUUUAUCGGGGAGCAAAGUACGCCACGUGUGGCUUUCCGCAUGUACCCUAUGAAUAAGCAUCGGCUAACUCCGUGCCAGCAGCCGCGGUAAUACGGAGGAUGCGAGCGUUAUCCGGAUUUAUUGGGUUUAAAGGGUGCGUAGGCGGAGGAUAAAGUCAGCGGUAAAAUUGGGAGGCUCAACCUCUUAGAGCCGUUGAAACUGGCAGUCUUGAGUGCGCGAGAAGUAGGCGGAAUGCGUGGUGUAGCGGUGAAAUGCAUAGAUAUCACGCAGAACUCCGAUUGCGAAGGCAGCAUAC
RNAcentral lists this ribosomal RNA (393 nucleotides) under uncultured bacterium. Its description in RNAcentral is "partial 16S ribosomal RNA". It matches the Rfam family "Bacterial small subunit ribosomal RNA", at positions 338 to 729 of the family's 1533-position model. The record is from RNAcentral.